This 274-nucleotide ribosomal RNA is filed under the name uncultured bacterium. RNAcentral describes it as "partial 16S ribosomal RNA". It matches the Rfam family "Bacterial small subunit ribosomal RNA", at positions 523 to 796 of the family's 1533-position model. The record is from RNAcentral.
AUACGGAGGGUGCAAGCGUUAAUCGGAAUUACUGGGCGUAAAGCGCGCGUAGGCGGUUUGAUAAGUCGGAUGUGAAAUCCCCGGGCUCAACCUGGGAAUUGCAUUCGAUACUGUCAGGCUAGAGUGUGGUAGAGGGAAGUGGAAUUUCCGGUGUAGCGGUGAAAUGCGUAGAUAUCAGAAGGAACACCAGUGGCGAAGGCGGCUUCCUGGACCAACACUGACGCUGAGGUGCGAAAGCGUGGGGAGCAAACAGGAUUAGAAACCCUAGUAGUCC